GCGCAUGGGUAGGGACUUUUCCAUGCCAGUCGUGCGAAUGAUAAUAAUUUUUCUCUUCGAUGCUCCCAAUCUGGGGUCAUGUAGCUUUCAUUCUUAAUCCCGUGCGGGAUUUCUUCUACAGGAACAUUAGCUCCGUAUACGCCCUACGGGGCAAAGGAGGGCUCUUUCACACUUUGAACUAUACGAUGAACCGAUGUCGGAUAAUCUAAUUGGCGAGGUUAUGGCCCCCCCACGGUACCAACCGAAGCUGGUCUUGAGGGAUCAUCGGUCACACGGCCAUUAAGACUUGGUCCAAACCCCUCCGUGAUGCAGUUUUGGACCUUAUUUGUCCUUGGAGUAAAACUGAUCCCUCCAUGCCACCUGUGAGAAGGGUGUCUCCCGAUUGUGGACCUUUUAAGUUUGGAAGAAAGGUACUUAACCAAUACCUGGCCUUUUUGGCGUUACAGACCCAAAAAGCACCGGCUCAUUCUGUGACAGCACCCUGGGUGUAUACAGACGGGGGAAGCUUUUCUCGGUAUUUCUGGGUGAAAAGCGCGCGCAACGUGGUUCGGUGAGUCCCCAUGUUAAAUCCCCGAGUUUUAACCUGUGAACUCGCAUCUCCACACUGGCGAGAUAUAGAUAGGGCAGAGUGUGCGUCGAAUUUCCCGUGGGAGCUGCGAAAUGCGUUUGAUAUCGGUUAGAACACUGGAGUACGCAAGGGGAACCACAUGGUGGUUUUAACUGCCACUGUUGUGCGCAAAAGUGUGGAAAUAAACACGAGUAGAUACCCCUCGUCGACCACGGUCUCUUCCAAGAUCAACUACACUUUGCAACUCCUCGAGGAAAUUUCUGGCAGCCGCUAGCGCAUUAUAUCGUUCCCCCCGUGUGGGAAGCCGCCGCCCACGAUGAUACUCCAGGGGAAUUUUACUCGCGGGCCGACCAAACAGCUGGAGCGCGCCUGUUUGACUACCUAUACGCUUAAAGACUUAUCCCACCCUGUGUUCAUGCAGCGAACUGUCCUAAAUAGACCGGUGUCUUUGCGUACGCGUAACCUGAAGCAGCGACACGUAUAGGCCUGAGUACAGUUCUGGCUAGUAGAGUAGGUCCAUCCGAACAGCCUGACUAGCCUAGCUCGAUAGUGUGCUC
This 1125-nucleotide ribosomal RNA is filed under the name Pseudomonas putida. Its description in RNAcentral is "partial 16S ribosomal RNA". Lineage: Bacteria; Pseudomonadati; Pseudomonadota; Gammaproteobacteria; Pseudomonadales; Pseudomonadaceae. The record is from RNAcentral.